Molecule: ribosomal RNA, 301 nt
Filed under: uncultured bacterium
Lineage: Bacteria
Description: partial 16S ribosomal RNA
Rfam family: Bacterial small subunit ribosomal RNA
Source: RNAcentral
CAGUAGCCACGGUAAUACGUAGGUGGCAAGCGUUGUCCGGAAUUAUUGGGCGUAAAGGGCUCGCAGGCGGUUUCUUAAGUCUGAUGUGAAAGCCCCCGGCUCAACCGGGGAGGGUCAUUGGAAACUGGGAAACUUGAGUGCAGAAGAGGAGAGUGGAAUUCCACGUGUAGCGGUGAAAUGCGUAGAGAUGUGGAGGAACGCCAGUGGCGAAGGCGACUCUCUGGUCUGUAACUGACGCUGAGGAGCGAAAGCGUGGGGAGCGAACAGGAUUAGAUACCCGUGUAGUCCCUGUCUCUUAUAC